CAGAGCCUAGCAACAGCUGAGAAGAUGAUGUGUGGGCUCUCAUAGGAUUGUUACAAGAGCCAAACCUAGAAUUGGGGCCUCAGAGCGGUGAUAAGGCAGAACAAGGGGAUUCAAGUAUCUUGCAAAGGCUUUAUUUGAAAAUUUUUAAACUUACAUCCCACAAGAAUUCAAGAUUAUCACCACAAGAAGAAAGAGAUAAUACAAAAAUAUAUAUCACAGCAUAGGAGCCAGGUAAGAGGGGAAGAAGGUAGAUGGAAAAACUGGUGGAAGUAGGGAAGGACCUGAGGAGAGGGAGAGGGCAGAAGGUAAAAGGAGAAGAAUGAAGGAGGGAGGAAAGGAGAGGAAAGGGUAGAUGUGGAGGCAGAGCUCCGGAUGGCCUUGAACCAGCUGGCUCCAGUCCCUGGCAGCCUAGGUGGAGUGAGGGAGGCCCUAUGAGAGGCUGGGAAGUGGAGAACUGGCUCUGGGGCUCUGAAUUCCAGAGAGGCAUGUGCGCGCGCGCGCGC
Non-coding RNA from Ictidomys tridecemlineatus (thirteen-lined ground squirrel), 503 nucleotides. The record is from RefSeq and is a predicted model, not a curated record. Lineage: Eukaryota; Metazoa; Chordata; Mammalia; Rodentia; Sciuridae.